This 786-nucleotide ribosomal RNA is filed under the name Priestia megaterium. RNAcentral describes it as "bacterial SSU rRNA". It matches the Rfam family "Bacterial small subunit ribosomal RNA", at positions 29 to 801 of the family's 1533-position model. Lineage: Bacteria; Bacillati; Bacillota; Bacilli; Caryophanales; Bacillaceae. The record is from RNAcentral.
GGGAAGGGGGGGGGGCUAUACAUGCAAGUCGAGCGAACUGAUUAGAAGCUUGCUUCUAUGACGUUAGCGGCGGACGGGUGAGUAACACGUGGGCAACCUGCCUGUAAGACUGGGAUAACUUCGGGAAACCGAAGCUAAUACCGGAUAGGAUCUUCUCCUUCAUGGGAGAUGAUUGAAAGAUGGUUUCGGCUAUCACUUACAGAUGGGCCCGCGGUGCAUUAGCUAGUUGGUGAGGUAACGGCUCACCAAGGCAACGAUGCAUAGCCGACCUGAGAGGGUGAUCGGCCACACUGGGACUGAGACACGGCCCAGACUCCUACGGGAGGCAGCAGUAGGGAAUCUUCCGCAAUGGACGAAAGUCUGACGGAGCAACGCCGCGUGAGUGAUGAAGGCUUUCGGGUCGUAAAACUCUGUUGUUAGGGAAGAACAAGUACGAGAGUAACUGCUCGUACCUUGACGGUACCUAACCAGAAAGCCACGGCUAACUACGUGCCAGCAGCCGCGGUAAUACGUAGGUGGCAAGCGUUAUCCGGAAUUAUUGGGCGUAAAGCGCGCGCAGGCGGUUUCUUAAGUCUGAUGUGAAAGCCCACGGCUCAACCGUGGAGGGUCAUUGGAAACUGGGGAACUUGAGUGCAGAAGAGAAAAGCGGAAUUCCACGUGUAGCGGUGAAAUGCGUAGAGAUGUGGAGGAACACCAGUGGCGAAGGCGGCUUUUUGGUCUGUAACUGACGCUGAGGCGCGAAAGCGUGGGGAGCAAACAGGAUUAGAUACCUUGGUAGUCCAAAAA